Molecule: long non-coding RNA, 354 nt
Organism: Mercenaria mercenaria
Lineage: Eukaryota; Metazoa; Mollusca; Bivalvia; Venerida; Veneridae
Exons: 3
Source: RefSeq, a predicted model, not a curated record
UUGCGCUUACUAUAUAAUUCGACGAAACUUCAGUCAAGAUCUACAACUACAUUCUGCGCGUCAAGAUGAAGAUUGUUUACAUUUUCGCUUUCCUGUGCAUCAGUGGACUUUUUAUUGGCUGUAUGGCGGGUAAUGGCGGCUAUACUAUUGAUGAUGUAUUUGGUGAGGUCAAAAUCAAUCAAGAUCUGAUCAAAGAUGUACUAGCUGGUCUUAAGGAUAUAAAGGCUUGUUGUUGUGAAACCGAAGAUAACGACCCUAAAUAAAGUCAAUGGCAGCCUCAAGUUGAAAAGGUCAUAUUCCAAAUAUCGGACUAACAAAACAGAACAGAACUGAAAUCAUAUUUAGCCUUAUGCA